AUUAGAAGAUGGAACAGAACUUAUUGACAGUGCAUAACUUCCUAUUGCAGUCUGCUAUGUAUCUUGAUAGCCAUUGGAUUCCAAAAAGCUCGUUUCAGUUGUCCACAUUCAUUAGUCUGCUAUGUAUCUUCAUAAAAGCCAUGGUAAAAUAUUAUAUGCUUUCUCUUUUUAAUGGGUCCAACUACUACUUUGGAAAAGUAUGCUCAAUAUCAUGAUUACUGUUGUUUUGACAUUUAGCUUAAAGUUAAAAAA
Molecule: unclassified non-coding RNA, 252 nt
Filed under: Hevea brasiliensis (rubber tree)
Lineage: Eukaryota; Viridiplantae; Streptophyta; Magnoliopsida; Malpighiales; Euphorbiaceae
Source: RNAcentral